AACUUCCAACUCUAGAAACUUUGGUUUCCAAUUCCGAAUUCUUUGUUCUUCACUUUCAUUUCUUCAUUUCUUAAGCUCCUUUGACCUUCAAACUCGUCCAUUCCUUGUGCUCCAUAAGCAUACACAACAUUCCAGCUCAAUUUUGCUCUAAAACUCCAUUUCGCACUUCUUUGCAUACUUUGUCUCUAAAACCUGAAAUUGCACGAAACUGACUUUAAACACUAAAAUAACUAAAUAAAAACAACAUAAAUGCACAAGAACAAGCCCACUAAGUCGCAUAAAUAUGCUCCUAUCACCUAAGCUUGCCGUGCUACCCCUUCUAGAAGAACUGGUUUGCCUUGCCUUGCAAGGCAUUCUGGAAGCCCUAUCUCAUCCUUACCUUAUCUGCCGCACCCUAGGCCUUUUCCCAUUCAAAAUCUGAUUGUUUAGGCCUUUUUCCUGAUGGAUUGGGUUCUCCAAGUCCAUAUCUGAUUUACCUAGGGUUUUUGGUGCUUAUAUAUAUAUAUAUCUACACCUUUGCCGCACAUCACCACCUCUCAUAAUUCCAAAUUCACGCCAUAAAUCUGCCUUGCCCUUUGCCGCAGCCUUCCACCACCAUUCUCCCAAAUCUCUGCCAAAAACAACCCCUUGCCGCACCACCUAUCAACCCUAAACCCUUCCAUACCAUUCCUCAUCCAUUCUACACCACAAAUACCACCCAAAACCUGUCCACAAACUCUCUGCUGCAGCAAGGAGGAAGGAGGAAUCGUGGAUGCACCUGCUGCGAAGUUGGAGCGUUUUAGGUGUUCUCUUUCUUUGGAUUUUAAUGUCUAAAUUUAUAUAUCUUUGCUUUGCGAGUAUGAGGAACUAAACUCCCUUGGCUAGGGGGGGAUUCGAAACCAUGUUUAUGCUUGCUAUAUGAUUUGAUUACUUCUAAUUGUGUUUCAUAAGUUGUGGAUUCAAUUUGCUUAUCUAUUUGAAUUAAACUGAUUUGUGUGUGUUGGUUGAGAGUGCACGCUUAAUUGUCAUGCAUAAAUCUAAUGCUCGAAUAUAAGGAAAUUUCACCUAAUCGUUAUGAACUUAUAUUCACAACUAGUAAAAGUUGUUGAUCACAAUUGUGUUAAGUAAAUUCUUGGCAUAAGUUUCAUGCGCUUUCAUAGUUACGAGUGCCUCGUCAAUACUUAUGAUUUCCAUUGAACGUAAUGAUCUUUGAUUGUAUCUUUAUUAUGCACUUUCAUAUAGAGAACUUUUGAGGAAUAAUUUGAUUGCGAUGCGCUUUUUCCAUCCAAUUCAUUGACAUAAGGGAAAUCUGAAAGUUAAUUUAAGCGGACCUAAUUAAUUUGGAGCGUUGAGUAUUCAUGGUUUAUUGAAUUGCAAUUAGAAAUCGUUUUGUAUGCAAGUGUGAAAUGUGUGGAGAAGAACCCCUUAGCUAGUUUUCCAUCCCUUCAAUUCAACCAAAUUCGUUUUAGAAUCUGUUCAAUUUACAAGUUUUGUUUUUGUUUGCAAUUUUCGUCAAAACCAAAUCCCCAUUUAUUUUAAAGUGUUAGAUUAGUUAGAAAUCAGUUUAGUUUGUGUUUUUAAGUGUCUUGAGUAAAGUUAUAACCAAUUUUCGUCCAAAUUCUUCCUUGGUGUCAGAAACUGCCCAGAAAGUGUUUUCUAGGCAGUAUUGAGUCUUUGUUUGCUGUUUUGAGUCUUUUGGUUUAUUUUGGUGUUUUAAAGUUUAGUUUUGCAUUCUUUGAGUCUAGUUUAGUGUUUUAACCUUGUUUUAACGUAUUUGAGUCAGUUUUCAAGUGAUUUAGCAAUCCCUCCUAAUCCCCGGCCUAGAACGAUCCCUACUUACAUACUUUGCUACAAUUGAUAAAAAGAGGGUUUAAUUUGUGUGCUUAUAUAUUUCGCAUCUUAGCCAUGACAUGCAGUUAGGUGUCACUCAUUGUUUGUGGAAGCCCUGAAGAUUAGCAAACACUAAUCUUAAUCAAAGGGAGAAUUGAAAUGUAGUUUCAAUUCACAAUCGAUCGUUAAGAGUAACAAUCGCCCACUACCUCGCUAAUGGAACCUAAUGGAUCGUACACCGAGUAAGGAUGAAAGUGAAGAAAUAUAAAUGAAAUGGAUAAGCAAUUAAAUGGUUUAAUUGAAAUAUGAUCAAGGUUAAUUAAUUAGUUAAUGAUAGGAGCAUAUUUAUGCGCCUUAGUUAGCUAGUUCUUAUGCAUUUUCGUUAUGUUUUCUUUGUUAAAGUAGUCUUUUAAGCUACUUUCAUGUGUUUUCAGGUUUAAAGGACAUAUUACAUGAAAUGAUGCAAUUUGGAGCUUUUGGAGCAAAAAGUGAGCUUGGAUUGAAAAAGGACAUGCUUGGAACACAAGGUUGGGAUGAAAUUGACGAGUUGAAGAUUUGAGGUUUCCUACUUGAAGUAGGAAAGCUAAGCCUAAAAGUUUCCAUUUUGGGUUGAUCUUUCCUAAACCGGAAUGGCCUUGCGUUUGAGCAACAUUAGAAGGUUCCGAAGCGUUGGAAGACACAAAGAAAGGUGUUAGAAUAUUUUCUCAUCCUUGCCAUGGGUUAGGGCUUAGUUUCUCUUGGUUUUGGGCUUUUUAGAAGCCUAUCCACACUCCCACUAAUCAGCCGCACCUUUCCCCUUCUAGAACACCUAUUUCCUUGCCUUGCAAGGCUUUCUAGAAGCCCUAACCCUAGCCCACUUAACUGCCGCACCCUAGGCCCUUUUCUCACCUAAUUUCUGAUUGUUUAACCUAUUCUUCUGGUGGAUUUGGGUUUCUAGAAGCCCUAAUCUGAUUUGCUAGGGUUUUUAAGUGCCUAUAUAUAUAUUUAUACACCUAGCCGCACAUAUCAUCUCUCCACAAUUCAGAAAUUCAUCCAACCUUAUUUCCCCACCUUGCCGCAGCCAUCAUCACCCUAAUACCUCUUAGCCGCCACUUCUCCAUCAAACCAGCCACUUCCCACCCCUUGCCGCAACCAUUCUACACUUCCAGCCACCAUUCUACACCUCUAUACACCACCCAUACCCCUUGCCGCACCACCAUACCAUCCUAACUCCCUUCCUAAACCAAAAUCACAUCCAAAAAUCUCCUAAACCCUCUCUGCCGCAGCAAGGAGAAGAAGAAAGAGGAGCUUGACGUGCAGAAUUCAAAGUGGAAUUGUUGGGCGUUUUAGGUGUAAUCUUUCUUAUGUCUUCGAUAUUUCAAUUCAAUAAACUUUGUGUUGUGAGUAUGAGGAACUAAACCCCCUUAGUUGGGGGGUAAUUCGAAACCAUGUACAUGCUUGCAAUAUGAUUUGAUUACAUUCAGUUGUUAUUUCAUAAGUUGUGGAUUCAAUUCGUUCAUCUAUUUGAUUGAUAACUUAUUUGUGUAUGUUGAUUGAGAGUGCACGCUUAGUUUUCAUGCAUGAAUACGAUGCUAGAUUAUGAGGGAGUUUCACCUAAUAGUUACAAUCUUAUGAUCACAAGUAGUGAAGGUCGCUUGAAAACGAUCGCGUUGAAUGAGUUCUUAGCAUAAGUUUCAUGCAAUUCAUAGUAACAAAUGCUUCGUCAAUGCUUAUGUUUUUCAUAGAACGUAAUGAUUCUUGCUUGUAUCUCUAUUAUGCAAUUCAUGUAGGGAACUUGUAGGGAAUGUUUUAGGUUGUCGUAUGCAAUCAUCCAACUUGAUAACUUGUGGAAAAACUGAGGGUUAACUAGUGCAAUUCACGGUUAAUUUGGGGCGUUGAGUAUUCAUAAUUCAUUGGAAGAACAACUGAUAAUCGUUUUGUUUGCAAGUGUGACAUGUGUGGAGAAGAGCCUCCUAACUAGCCUUUUAUCCAUCCUUUUAUUCAAAACGUUCUA
This 3802-nucleotide long non-coding RNA is filed under the name Malus domestica (apple). RNAcentral describes it as "long non-coding RNA (MDOM_LNC018149)". The record is from RNAcentral. Lineage: Eukaryota; Viridiplantae; Streptophyta; Magnoliopsida; Rosales; Rosaceae.